This 567-nucleotide long non-coding RNA is filed under the name Triticum aestivum (bread wheat). RNAcentral's name for it is "long non-coding RNA (TAES_LNC008242)". Lineage: Eukaryota; Viridiplantae; Streptophyta; Magnoliopsida; Poales; Poaceae. The record is from RNAcentral.
CGCCGCUGACGGUGGACGAUGCACUCAAGCAGUAUGUUGUAAGCUUUGCAUCUGCAGGUACUUCACACCAUGGAACAGUUGUUGCGUACAUACAUAUAUAGAUGCAUGAUUGAUAGCAACUCAACUUAAUCAAACUGAACUGAUGGUGUAUGUGUGUGUGUAUGGUGCAGUGGAGGGGAGGUAACCAACAUGCUGUUCAGGAAGAAAAGAGGGAGGAUUCAGAUUCGUCGGAAUACUCCUUUGCCGGCUGACACCGGUGCCGAGCUGAGCUGCAGAUGACAAUGCCUACUCAUCUCGUAGUUCAUCUGUUUAAAUUCAUGGUGUGCGUCUCUUGGUGCUGUCCCUGAUGUGUUCAGAUCGGCAAACCGUCGUGUAGCCAUGUAGGUGAGUAGCUGAUUAGCAGUUUUGUUACGUUCCCACACAUAGCUCUUGUUACACUAUGAUGCCCUUUCCUACCUUGGAUUCGAUCACAUUGUUUCGAAGGACCCUCGGUCGGGUUUGUGAUACAUAAUCUGCACAAGAUCUGAACAGCAAACACAUGUUGAAAGCUUUCAUCUGGUUCUUUUC